GGGAGCGCGGGGCCUGCCGGAGGUCGGGCGCUUCGCCUUUAGCGCCUCUCGCUGCCUUGCACCCACCCACCCUGGCCAAGCCCCCCUUUCUUGUCCCUAAAAAGUCUAAAUUAAGAAGACGGGACGUCUCCGUGUGGUGGGAGCCGCGGGAGGUCCGGAGGAGGCGGGCGAGUACCGGCCCUUCGAAGGCUUCAGCGGAGCGUUCGGAGCCUCCCCGAUGCUCUGUCUUUGCUACCUCAGAAAACUGCUCCAGUAUUUGUAGCUCCUCAGGAGCUGGAAUUCCCCUUGUUCAGAGUAGCCAAAGAAUGACAUCGAUGAGGAAGAAACAGACCUGGAGGUUGGAGAGGUACCUGGUCUCAGAGCCACAUAGCCACCAGCUGACUUCAGCCAGCAUCUUUCCCAAGCCUUUUGCUCAGCUGUCUGGAUGCCGUGGU
RNAcentral lists this long non-coding RNA (434 nucleotides) under Chloebia gouldiae (Gouldian finch). Its description in RNAcentral is "Erythrura gouldiae (Gouldian finch) lncRNA (ENSEGOG00005014214.1)". The record is from RNAcentral. Lineage: Eukaryota; Metazoa; Chordata; Aves; Passeriformes; Passeridae.